RNAcentral lists this transfer RNA (75 nucleotides) under Candidatus Altimarinota bacterium. RNAcentral describes it as "tRNA-Trp". It matches the Rfam family "tRNA". From Rfam's summary of the family: Transfer RNA (tRNA) molecules are approximately 80 nucleotides in length. Their secondary structure includes four short double-helical elements and three loops (D, anti-codon, and T loops). Further hydrogen bonds mediate the characteristic L-shaped molecular structure. tRNAs have two regions of fundamental functional importance: the anti-codon, which is responsible for specific mRNA codon recognition, and the 3' end, to which the tRNAs corresponding amino acid is attached (by aminoacyl-tRNA synthetases). tRNAs cope with the degeneracy of the genetic code in two manners: having more than one tRNA (with a specific anti-codon) for a particular amino acid; and 'wobble' base-pairing, i.e. permitting non-standard base-pairing at the 3rd anti-codon position. The record is from RNAcentral. Lineage: Bacteria; Candidatus Altimarinota.
ACCUCCAUAGUUCAGCGGUUAGAAUUCGGGAUUCCAAAUCCCGCGACCUAGGUUCGAUUCCUAGUGGGGGUGCCA